GCCUCCGUAGCUCAGUUGGUUAGAGCACCUGACUCUUAAUCAGGGUGUCCUGGGUUCGAAUCCCAGCGGGGGUA
Molecule: transfer RNA, 74 nt
Filed under: Candidatus Ancillula trichonymphae
Lineage: Bacteria; Bacillati; Actinomycetota; Actinomycetes; Bifidobacteriales; Bifidobacteriaceae
Also listed under: 3 other names
Description: tRNA-Lys
Rfam family: tRNA
About the family: Transfer RNA (tRNA) molecules are approximately 80 nucleotides in length. Their secondary structure includes four short double-helical elements and three loops (D, anti-codon, and T loops).
Source: RNAcentral